Molecule: long non-coding RNA, 3630 nt
Filed under: Homo sapiens (human)
Lineage: Eukaryota; Metazoa; Chordata; Mammalia; Primates; Hominidae
Description: long non-coding RNA NONHSAT105941.2
Source: RNAcentral
CUAUAGGAGAACACGAGGAAAUAUAUUUUAUAAACUGUAAAGCACUACUAAGACGUGAGCAGCGGCUGCUGCAUAUCCAGGUCAACCUUUAUGGGCCUGAAGACAACCUCUCCUUCGUUUGGGCACUGCUAGGAGUCAAAUCUACCUAGACUUUUGGUAAGGAAGAUGGUACUCAUGCUCAUUGUCAUUGAGACAAUUAUCUAAUGCUUAGAAGUCAAGACUAGAAAGCAAGGCAUUAACCAUAUCAGCACCCAAACAAGGGAAGACAAGUUACAAGAAAGCCAAAUAAAACAGCAAACAUUUGUUUAGUGCUUUAUGGUUAACAUAUAUGAUCUCUUUUAAUCCUUACAAUCCUAGGGAAAAAGUGAAGCUCAAGGAGGUUGACACCUGCCCAAGACUAGACAGUAAGUGGCAGAGCCAGGUCAUCUGAUCCUAAAUCCCGCACUCCUUCCACUAUGAUAAAAUACCAGGAAAGAAAAGUGAUCAGGAUAUGAGGCACAUUCUGAUCCAUCAAAGAUGCUUAUAUGCUUUGCCUUUCUCUAGAAGGAAAACGGACCCCACUGAAGGUAGAGAUGCAAUCCCAGACUUUCAGAGGGGGGGUGUGGCCAAUUGCUAUCAGUAGUUUAGGACUCACAUCUGGCAUUUCUGUCUACCAAUACAUCUAUUUUGACACUGCUUGUGCUGAGGUCCCAAAUGUCUAUUAUCUCCAAGUACUGUGGCUUUCUAUUCCUAUCUGUACCUGUCCCAGGGAAUUGGUCAAGGACUCACAUUAGGGAGAAAUGAAGUACUGGGUAUCUGUUACUCACGUCCCUUACACUUAGGUAGACUGCCAGUAUUAGCAGUAGUGGUCCGCUUCCAGUGACCGUCAUAUUAUCUGUUCAGCUUCCUCUGGGGAAGCCAAUCUGCCCCAAUCUUCAUGGUUUUGUGUCUCCUUUUUUACCCAUAUGACCAUCUCUCUCCACCGUGUCUCCCUCAUCAAAUAAAGAGAAGUUUAGCAACUAAGUACCUGAGGAGGUGGGAAAGGAAUGCUACUCAUUCCUCAGCUCUCCUAGUUACCUUUCCACUCCCUUCAUCCCCCCACAUUCCCUCAUUUCUCUCACCUGGUACUCCUGCACCACCUCCUCCAAAGGCAGCACGCUGUGCUGUUUGUGGCUCCUGGAUUCUCGGCACACCACACAGAUGGCCUCUUUGUCCACCUCACAGAAGAGUUUCAGGGCUUCCUGGUGUUUAAAGCACAUGCCCUGAUCAUUACUCCGGUUUCCCCGAUAAGGAGUGGGGCACAUCUGGCGAAUUAUCUGGACCAUGUUGGCCAGCUGCAAGUUGGGACGAAAGCUGCGACGUGUAAAGCUCUUUCGGCACUGGGGGCAGGUGAACUGCCCUGGAAGGGGCAAGGAAGGAGGCGGGUGGAUGUCAGGAUACAGCUCUUCAUCUUCGUCCUCAUCGUAUGCUUCCAGUAUUUCUUCUUCUCGGUAGACAUCAAUUCUCAGGUCAGGUCUCAAGCCUCCUAGGUAAUAGUCCUGAUCUUCCUCUUCUUCUUCUUCCUCCUCGUCCCACAUAUAGUCUACGUUGUCCCAAUUAGUUAUACCACUGUCACCGAGCCAGAGUUCAUCGUCAUCUUGGUCUUGGAACAACUCUUCGUCAGCAUUCCCCCGAUACAACACCUCUCGAAUGGAGCCGUCCCAUCCAUCCAUGGCCCCCACCGCUUCCUCGUCCUCCUCCUCCUCCCAUUCAUCUUCCUCCUCGUUCUGGUCCUCCUCGUCCUCCUUACUCCACAGCUGGGUCACACACCCUCGGCAGAAGUUGUGCCCACAGCUGAUGGACACGGGGUCCUUGAAGUAAUCCAAGCAGAUGGCACACACCGCUUCCUCCUGAAGGGUCUGCAUGGGGCUGGGAGUAGUGGCAUAACCAGCCAUCUUAAUGCCCGCCGGCAGGUGUAGAUACGUCAGCUUGGAGCUGAGGAGCGGGGACGCGCCUGCAGGCCUGCCUCCAAACUACUCUGGUGACCCGAGGCUGUCCUCAACCUUGCUCUUCUUCCUCGGGGCCGCAGGGGAGCUUUGACCCCCUCUCUCAGGGUGCGAACGCCCAGAUCCAGACUCACAGCCUCUCUCUGGGAUCGGUGGGGACAGAGCAGGCUGCAGCCCCCAGCUGCUCGGUCCUGUCACGUCUCUCGCUACCCUCAGGGUGUGCCCUACACUGCGGCGUCCGCCUCAGAUGCAGCCGCUGGCUACCCUGCCCGAGGCGACGCAAAAUGACGUCUCGCUCCUGCACACGCUCUGGAGAGACGCUCUAGGCCGGCGGAGGACCACGUCUCUAUGGUGUGCCGGGGGCCGCGCGGGCCGGGAGUUGGGUGGGCUGGGGGACAGGCGCGCCCGCGCCGCCCGCUCCAGCUGGGCUAGUGCUGCACAUUCCGGCCAGCCCCUCCUCAAGACCCCAUUCCCAAGCCCCUUCUCAGCUCCCUCGGGCCGGCAGAGCGGCUCUGAUCAGUAAAAUGCUGUUGAAGGCCCACGGGCAUGACUGCACCCCUCACUAAUUGGUCAUUGGUUUGGGGAGGACACCACUGUCCCAGUGGAACCUUGAGCACACCUUGGAGCCCUCCUCUUCCUCUCCGGACCUGUGCCAAACUGUGAGUGGCACAGAGCAAGGACUGUAUGUGUUCUCUUCUUUGUUGCAUACUCAGUUCCUUGACCACAGUGCCAAGCACACAGCGAGCACUCCCUGUGUAUCUGCUGAGUAAAUAAACGAAUGAACAAACCCAACACAUUUCAGCCAAGUCCUGCUGAUGUUUCUCCUCCGAUCUAGCUCCUCCUUUCCAGCCUUACUUCUGCCACUCCAGAUUUCACCCCCAUCAGCUUCAGACUGGAUAAAAGGAAACCAUUUCUCUAAAGGAUCACUUGCUCUCUCAUUUCAGGCCAUCCUGCAGCCACCAGAACCUUCCACAUGAAAUGAAAGGCUCACCACUUCAUAGGCUUUAAGGAAAUUCUUGGCCAGGUGUGGUGCCUCACUCAUGUAAUCCCAGUGCUUUAAGAGGCCAAGAUGGGAGGAUUGUUUGAGCCAGCUGUUUGAGACCAGCCUGGGCAACGUCAUGAGACCCCAUCUCCACAAAAAAAAAAAAAAAGAAAAUUGGCUGGGUGCGGUGGCUCAUGUCUGUAAUCCCAGCAAUUUUGGAGGCUGAGGCGGGUGGAUCACUUGAGGUCAGGAGUUUGAGACCAGCCUGGCCAACAUGGUGAAACCCCGUCACUACUAAAAAUACAAAAAUUAGCCAGGCGUGGCGGCAGGUGCCUGUAAUCCCAGCUACUUGCGAGGCUGAGGAAGAAUUGCGUGAACCUAGGAGGUGGAGGUUGCAGUGAGCCAAGAUCAUGCUGCUGCACUCCAGCCUGGGCAACAGAGUGAGACUCCAUCUCAAAAAUAAUAAAAAUAAAUUAAAAAAAUUAAAAAUUACCUGCGUGUGAUGGUGUGCGCCUGUAGUUCCAGCUACUUGGGAGGCUGAAUUGGGAGGAUCAUUUGAGCCCAGGAGGUCAAGGCUGCAGUAAGCAGUGAUGGUGCCACUGCCCUCAGCCUGGGCAACAGAACAACAUGCAAUCUUAAAAAAAAAAAAUCCUGGCCAGGCACAGUGGCUUAUGACUGUAAUCC